AUUGAACGCUGGCGGUAUGCUUAACACAUGCAAGUCGAACGGCAGCAUGGUAUGUAGCAAUACGUACUGAUGGCGAGUGGCGGACGGGUGAGUAACACGUAGGAAUCUACCCUAAAGCGGGGGAUAACCCGAGGAAACUCGGGCUAAUACCGCAUAAUUUCUGAGGAAAAAAGCUAGGUUUACCUGGCACUUUAGGAGGAGCCUGCGUCUGAUUAGCUAGUUGGUGGGGUAAAGGCCUACCAAGGCGACGAUCAGUAGGUGGUCUGAGAGGAUGAUCACCCACACUGGGACUGAGACACGGCCCAGACUCCUACGGGAGGCAGCAGUGGGGAGUAUUGGACAAUGGGGGCAACCCUGAUCCAGCAAUACCGCGUGUGUGAAGAAGGCCUUCGGGUUGUAAAGCACUUUAGGCUGGGAAGAAGGUUAUUAGUUUAAGAGAUGAAUAACUUGACGGUACCAGCAGAAUAAGCACCGGCUAACUCUGUGCCAGCCGCCGCUGUAA
RNAcentral lists this ribosomal RNA (502 nucleotides) under uncultured bacterium. Its description in RNAcentral is "partial 16S ribosomal RNA". It matches the Rfam family "Bacterial small subunit ribosomal RNA", at positions 30 to 523 of the family's 1533-position model. The record is from RNAcentral.